Molecule: ribosomal RNA, 461 nt
Filed under: uncultured bacterium
Lineage: Bacteria
Description: partial 16S ribosomal RNA
Rfam family: Bacterial small subunit ribosomal RNA
Source: RNAcentral
UGGGGAAUUUUGGACAAUGGGCGAAAGCCUGAUCCAGCAAUGCCGCGUGUGUGAAGAAGGCCUUCGGGUUGUAAAGCACUUUUGUCCGGAAAGAAAUCCUUGGCUCUAAUACAGUCGGGGGAUGACGGUACCGGAAGAAUAAGCACCGGCUAACUACGUGCCAGCAGCCGCGGUAAUACGUAGGGUGCAAGCGUUAAUCGUAAUUACUGGGCGUAAAGCGUGCGCAGGCGGUUUGCUAAGACCGAUGUGAAAUCCCCGGGCUCAACCUGGGGCAACUGCAUUGGUGACUGGCAGGCUAGAGUAUGGCAGAGGGGGGUAGAAUUCCACGUGUAGCAGUGAAAUGCGUAGAGAUGUGGAGGAAUACCGAUGGCGAAGGCAGCCCCCUGGGCCAAUACUGACGCUCAUGCACGAAAGCGUGGGGAGCAAACAGGAUUAGAUACCCUGGUAGUCCACGCCCUAAA